AUCCUUCUGGUUCAUACAUGUGAUGAAUGGGUAUUCACGCGCCUGCGUGAGAUGUGCCGCCCACAUUUCUUGUUACGCACAGGUACAUUACCCAUCUGAAA
Molecule: small nucleolar RNA, 101 nt
Organism: Antechinus flavipes (yellow-footed antechinus)
Lineage: Eukaryota; Metazoa; Chordata; Mammalia; Dasyuromorphia; Dasyuridae
Product: small nucleolar RNA U13
Exons: 1
Source: RefSeq, a predicted model, not a curated record